This is an RNA transcript of Symphalangus syndactylus (siamang), 2452 nucleotides long. It is a transcript of the gene named G protein subunit gamma 10, with no coding region annotated. Lineage: Eukaryota; Metazoa; Chordata; Mammalia; Primates; Hylobatidae. The record is from RefSeq and is a predicted model, not a curated record.
CACCCGCGCUCGGGGCUGGCGGCUCCUCCCCGCCCGGCCGGGCCCAGCGGUCCUCGGAGCCCAGCGCCGCCGCCAUGUCCUCCGGGGCUAGCGCGAGCGCCCUGCAGCGCCUGGUGGAGCAGCUAAAGUUGGAGGCUGGCGUGGAGAGGAUCAAGGUCUCUCAGGCAGCUGCAGAGCUUCAACAGUACUGUAUGCAGAAUGCCUGCAAGGAUGCCCUGCUGGUGGGUGUUCCAGCUGGAAGUAACCCCUUCCGGGAGCCCAGAUCCUGUGCUUUACUCUGAAGACUCGUUCUUCAGAUGCCUGAAAAUAAAAAGGUGCCAAUGGUCCUGAUGUACUGUAAGAGAUCAAAAGCCAUGCUACUAAAUAAAGUCAGGAAUUACCCAGAAAAUCAGCAAGAUCCGGAUCUUGUCAUAUACUUCUGCACCUAGCAUAAUGAACCUUAUGGAAGAUAUCUUGGUAUUUUAGCUUCAGGCGAAGUUAUAUAUUGUGUUAAGAAAUGGUCAAAGAAAAAGGAUAUCCCACAUUUCUACUGGUUGUACCUUUUUACCUAUACUUUCUAUUUAUCACUUAAAAGCAAUUAAUCUUUACCUGUAAGCAAAAAUGGGUUCAAAGGGCUUCUACAUCUUUCUAAUUGCCACAUCAUGUAGUAUUUAUUAGCUGAUUCUUCAGCAGUAAGCAAAUUACUGAAAAAAAAAGAGUUAAAGUUUAAUACAUUAAUAAUAUUGAGUCUUUUGUAUAAUAAAAUUUUAUUCUUUUAUUUUAUUUUUUUGAGACAGAGUCUCGCUCUGUCACCCAGGCUGGAGUACAGUGGCACUAUCUUGGCUCACUGCAACCUCCACUCCAGAUUCAAGUGAUUUUCCUGUCUCAGCCUCCCGAGCAGCUGGGACCACAGGCGUCUGCCACCACGCCUGACUAAUUUUUGUAUUUUUAGUAGAGGCAGGGUUUCACCACGUGGGCCAGGCUGGUCUCCAGCUCCUGACCUCAAGUGAUCUGCCCACCUCGGCCUCCCAAAGUGCUGGGAUUACAGGUGUGAGCCACCGUGCCUGGCCCAAAAUGCUAUUUUUAAAAAGUAUUUUUAAAGUACUUUUACACUCAAAAUCAAGUGAAAAAUUAACUUUAUAAAUGUGUAAACUGCAGUCGAGUUCUACAGACCAAACACAGUACUCACUUCCUCCAUCCUUGGGAAAGUUUGGUAAUUUGUAAACUCAAUUGUUCCUACUUGACUAAAAAUUAGUCCCACCUCUACCUCCCUCAAUGGAACCUGGAGCCAGAGAGGGCUGACUUGGGAGAGUUUUAGCACUUCCCUCCAUAAACUAUGCUAGCGUCAACCUUAUACACCACCAAAAAUAAAAAUACAAUCUAAGUAAAAUUACCAUGCUUACCAUGCAAAUAGCAACCUCAACAAAAAUUUUUAUAAAAUUGCUGUCCCCAAGUCCAUUCCAUAUAGAAAUUCUGGAUCCUCUACCGGCUGAGGAUCGGAACUAUGAAAAAGUCCUUCUCUGGAGAUGGCAGAGUCCUAAAGUUUAGUUCAAGACCUUCAAUCUUGGUGGGUUUGUGAGUGAGUGAUGUGUGUCUGUGUAUGUGUGUUUAGGGGUACUGGGGGGAGAAGGGAGAAAAUAUGCAUGACAAUCAGUGUAAAUUACAGCUCAUCUGUAGCUAUGAUGCUACUAGCUUUGGUAGGGGAAAGACUAUUAAUUCAUAAACCCCUUAAUCUGUGUCCCAAGCUUCCUGCUACCCUGAGUGAGAACUGACUGUAUUCUGUUUCUCUGUUCAUAUGGAACAUAUAUGAGCAUGCUAAUUAUAAGUAUUGCCAGUUAAAUUGACAGUCUAGGGCAGUGGAAAGCUAGGUUUUAUGUCUAAGGCAUCCAGUUUACUCACAUAAUCCAAAAAUCUGGUCAUGUGGUAGAAAAUUUGAGAAUCUAGACAAUUCCUGAAUCUUACCAAGGUUUCUUUGACAACACCUCAGAUUGUAAGCAACUAUUUUAAAGUGAAAGGAAGGGGUUAUAUUUAGCAAGCCAUGUCCAAUAUAGACACACAUUUUCACUCUUAAUGGAGCUUUCUGAAGGCAUGUCUGAAUCUGAUACAUUGUUCAUAAAAAUAUAUUCACAAGUCAGCAGUCAGUUAGUAGGUUAAUAAAAUCUUACACCAUACAGACUUUUCUUUUUUAGUCCAUAAAAUCUAGCAUAGAAUCUUAUAUGUGGUAGGCACUAAAAAUAUUGUUAACUGGGUAUUAUUUUCAGCCAAAAUGUUGUGCUCUGAAAUAAAAAUAAUUGGGACCAUAAAAAUAAGUUAAAGCUACAAUAACAUUCUUUAUUAUUUUUCCUUCUUUUUUAAAAAAAAUUUUAACACCUUUUCUCCUUGUUUUUAGUUUUACAGUUGAGAUAUACAGUAGUUCCCCCUUAUCCAUGAGUUCACUAUACUUGGUUUCAUUUAUCUGUGGUCAUCUGCAGUC